AGGUGUACUUUGUGAAUGCAGAAUGUUCAGCUGUUAAGCAGAAAUUGUUUUGUGUCACAUGUAUGAUUGUGUUUAUUUACUGUUAUAGGAAUAAAGUCGUUUGAGCCCCUGAUUAUUUUCUGACUAAAUCGUGUGACUUACUCACUGCGCCACAUAACCACUGAGCCAUAUAGGAGUCUGCAUCCUUACGCAGUGUGCACUGUUCAUAUUCAUUUGUGUGUCUUUGGGGUGGCAUUAUGUUUAUAUUUGGGGUGGGGGUUAAAAGUACGAACAUUCUUACACAGUCACCGCAUUUAAUGAAACCUGGCAGAGAGGUGGAGCAUAGGUCAACAAAGGACCCAUUCAACUUUGGUGUGGAUUGGGAUCAAAGAGCAGAGAUAAGAACAAAAUGCCAGGAACAUGGUCAAAAAUUACUGGAUCAAUGGUCAAUUAUCAGCAUGAAAGGUAGAUUCAGAUCAAAGGUAAGCAAAGACAAAUAAGGAUCAAAAAGCAGCAACUAUCACCAAAGAUCAGGAUCAAAGAUCAACAAUAAUGACAAAACAUGAGGAACAUGAUCUCAGCUUAGCAAUCAAGAUCACUGUUCAGUCAUCACUAAAAAAGGUCAAGAUUUAAUCAAAGGUAGGUAAACAGAAACAAGGAUCAAAGAACAGUGAUCAUAAUCAAAGGCCAGGGUAUGGAUCAAAGAUCUGAGACAAAAAUAAAAGAAAUCAGGAACACAAUCAAAACUUAGUAAUCAAGAUUAAUGGUCAACAAUCACUAUGAAAGGUCAAGAUUUGGAUCAAAGGUUUCAAUUAAUUUUUCAAUUUAUUUUUAUUUGUAUAGUGCCAAAUCACAACAAAGCUGGCUGAAGGCGCUUCACGUGAGUAAAGUCUAAUCUCACCAAACCCCUUCAGUAAGCACACAAGCAACAGCGGCAAGGAAAACUCCCUCUGGUGAUAAUGAGGAAGAAACCUCAAGCAGACUGGACUCAGAAGGGUGACCCACUGCUUAGGCCAUUCUAACAUUUACAAGGCUUUUACAGAUUGUACAAAAGUUUGUUUACAUACAGACGAGCAACAAAAACAGAGUCCUGAAUUGAAAAUAUA
Long non-coding RNA from Thalassophryne amazonica, 1085 nucleotides. RefSeq lists it as uncharacterized. The transcript has 2 exons. The record is from RefSeq and is a predicted model, not a curated record. Lineage: Eukaryota; Metazoa; Chordata; Actinopteri; Batrachoidiformes; Batrachoididae.